UACGAAGGGGGCUAGCGUUGUUCGGAAUCACUGGGCGUAAAGGGCGCGUAGGCGGCCGAUCAAGUCGGGGGUGAAAGCCUGUGGCUUAACCACAGAAUGGCCUUCGAUGCUGUUUGGCUUGAGACCGGAAGAGGUUAGUGGAACUGCGAGUGUAGAGGUGAAAUUCGUAGAUAUUCGCAAGAACACCAGUGGCGAAGGCGGCUGACUGGUCCGGUACUGACGCUGAGGUGCGAAAGCGUGGGGAGCAAACAGG
RNAcentral lists this ribosomal RNA (253 nucleotides) under uncultured bacterium. RNAcentral describes it as "partial 16S ribosomal RNA". It matches the Rfam family "Bacterial small subunit ribosomal RNA", at positions 524 to 776 of the family's 1533-position model. The record is from RNAcentral.